RNAcentral lists this ribosomal RNA (389 nucleotides) under uncultured bacterium. RNAcentral describes it as "bacterial SSU rRNA". It matches the Rfam family "Bacterial small subunit ribosomal RNA", at positions 28 to 417 of the family's 1533-position model. The record is from RNAcentral.
GACGAACGCUGGCGGCGUGCUUAACACAUGCAAGUCGAGCGAGGCCCCUUCUUCGGGAGGGUGUUCUAGCGGCGAACGGGUGAGUAACACGUGGGCAACCUGCCCUCAGCUCUGGGAUAACUCCAAGAAAUUGGGGCUAAUACCGGAUAUGACCGCUGACCGCAUGGUCUGGUGGUGGAAAGAUUUAUCGGCUGGGGAUGGGCCCGCGGCCUAUCAGCUUGUUGGUGGGGUAGGGCCUACCAAGGCGACGACGGGUAGCCGGCCUGAGAGGGUGACCGGCCACACUGGGACUGAGACACGGGCCCAGACUCCUACGGGAGGCAGCAGUGGGGAAUAUUGCGCAAUGGGCGAAAGCCUGACGCAGCGACGCCGCGUGGGGAUGACGGCCU